CCUACGGGAGGCUGCAGUGAUGAAUUUUGGUCAAUGGGCGAGAGCCUGAACCAGCCAAGUCGCGUGAAGGAUGACGGCCCUACGGGUUGUAACCUUCUUUUGUCAGGGAGCAAUUUGGUCCACGCGUGGGCUUAGCGAGAGUACCUGACGAAAAAGCAUCGGCUACCUCCGUACCAGCAGCCGCGGUAAUACGGAGGAUGCGGGCGUUCUCCCGAUUUAUUGGGUUUAAAGGGUGCGUAGUCGGAAUAUCAAGUCAGCGGUAAAAAUUCGGGGCUCAACCCCGUCGUGCCGUUGAAACGGAUGGUCUUGAGUGGGCGAGAAGUAGGCGGAAGGCGUGGUGUAGCGGUGAAAUGCAUAGAUAUCACGAAGAACUCCGAUUGCGAAGGCAGCAUACCGGCGCCCAACUGACGCUGAAGCACGAAAGCGUGGGUAUCGAACAGGAUUAGAUACCCUAGUAGUC
This 460-nucleotide ribosomal RNA is filed under the name uncultured bacterium. RNAcentral describes it as "partial 16S ribosomal RNA". It matches the Rfam family "Bacterial small subunit ribosomal RNA", at positions 338 to 795 of the family's 1533-position model. The record is from RNAcentral.